RNAcentral lists this ribosomal RNA (254 nucleotides) under uncultured bacterium. RNAcentral describes it as "partial 16S ribosomal RNA". It matches the Rfam family "Bacterial small subunit ribosomal RNA", at positions 524 to 776 of the family's 1533-position model. The record is from RNAcentral.
UACGUAGGGGGCGAGCGUUGUCCGGAUUUAUUGGGCGUAAAGAGCUCGUAGGCGGUUCGGCAAGUCAGAUGUAAAAACUCCAGGCUCAACUUGGAGAGGCCAUCUGAUACUGCCGUGACUAGAGUCCGGUAGAGGAGCACGGAAUUCCUGGUGUAGCGGUGAAAUGCGCAGAUAUCAGGAAGAACACCCGUGGCGAAAGCGGCUCUCUGGAACGGUACUGACGCUGAGACGCGAAAGCGUGGGGAGCGAACAGG